Long non-coding RNA from Hyaena hyaena (striped hyena), 555 nucleotides. RefSeq lists it as uncharacterized. The transcript has 2 exons. The record is from RefSeq and is a predicted model, not a curated record. NCBI's taxonomy places the organism in Eukaryota, Metazoa, Chordata, Mammalia, Carnivora, Hyaenidae.
CACCACCAUCCAUGUCCAGAACUUCUUCAUCAUCCCAGACUGAAGCUCCAUACCCAUGGAACAGCAACUUCUCAUUUCUCUCUCCCCCGGCCCCUGCAAACCGUAUUGCUGCUGAACCACUGCUUACAUAAACUUCAAGCGGGCCACUCAAGCUGCCCGACUGCUGCUUAAUGUCCUGAACUGAGCUUGCUUGUCCUGCAGUGUCUACCUAGUGUUUUGUUUUUGUUAGAAAUUCACCUCGCCUUGUCUACUAAGGAGAAAGAAAAGGGAAAUUACACCCCAGAGCUCAGCAAGCCUAUAAAAUGGCAGAGAUUCCUGAAGAAGACUGCCCUGAACCCCAAGGCCCUGGCUGCCUGCGCUGUAAUGAAAUGCAUGACUACGGGAGAUAAUAAUAAUUGCAGCAAUGGCUCGUUACAGCUCCCGGAUGAUUUGGGGCUGUCAGGAGUACGCUGUCCUCUGACAUCCCAGGAGGCGAAUGGCAUCAGUGACUGCAGGCCCUGAUUGGGGCAGUGAAAUAUUGCUGGCAAAAAUUAAAAGGUCCCCGUGUCAAAAUAA